GGAUCUGCAUAAGUUGGUACCUUGAUUAGCUCGGACCUUGCGAGGAGCGUCGCCUUUGCACGGCGGAGGUCAGGGGUUCGAAUCCCCUCGGCUCCA
Molecule: transfer RNA, 96 nt
Filed under: Actinomycetota bacterium
Lineage: Bacteria; Bacillati; Actinomycetota
Description: tRNA-Ser
Rfam family: tRNA (bases 27-88)
About the family: Transfer RNA (tRNA) molecules are approximately 80 nucleotides in length. Their secondary structure includes four short double-helical elements and three loops (D, anti-codon, and T loops). Further hydrogen bonds mediate the characteristic L-shaped molecular structure. tRNAs have two regions of fundamental functional importance: the anti-codon, which is responsible for specific mRNA codon recognition, and the 3' end, to which the tRNAs corresponding amino acid is attached (by aminoacyl-tRNA synthetases). tRNAs cope with the degeneracy of the genetic code in two manners: having more than one tRNA (with a specific anti-codon) for a particular amino acid; and 'wobble' base-pairing, i.e. permitting non-standard base-pairing at the 3rd anti-codon position.
Source: RNAcentral